RNAcentral lists this ribosomal RNA (492 nucleotides) under uncultured bacterium. Its description in RNAcentral is "partial 16S ribosomal RNA". It matches the Rfam family "Bacterial small subunit ribosomal RNA", at positions 29 to 507 of the family's 1533-position model. The record is from RNAcentral.
AUUGAACGCUGGCGGCAUGCUUUACACAUGCAAGUCGAACGGUAACAGGCCUUCGGGUGCUGACGAGUGGCAAACGGGUGAGUAAUGCAUCGGAACGUACCCAGAGGUGGGGGAUAACGCAGCGAAAGCUGUGCUAAUACCGCAUGUGAUCUGAGGAUGAAAGCGGGGGACCGAGCAGCAAUGUUUGGCCUCGCGCCUUUGGAGCGGCCGAUGUCGGAUUAGCUAGUUGGUGGGGUAAAGGCCUACCAAGGCGACGAUCCGUAGCUGGUCUGAGAGGACGACCAGCCACACUGGGACUGAGACACGGCCCAGACUCCUACGGGAGGCAGCAGUGGGGAAUUUUGGACAAUGGGCGCAAGCCUGAUCCAGCAAUGCCGCGUGCGGGAAGAAGGCCUUCGGGUUGUAAACCGCUUUUGGCAGGAACGAAACGGUGUCCGCUAAUACCGGGCGCUAAUGACGGUACCUGCAGAAUAAGCACCGGCUAACUACGUG